UGUAGGGAUUGUACAGCAAGUUUCCGAAGCAGUAGAGAGCGACUGGUUUUCCGUUGUCGCAUUUGUAGAACUGGUUGCAGUUUUCAUGUGCCACUAAAACACCGUCUGAUCCAUCUACUGCACAAAUAGAAGGUGCCUCAUCGGGUCUGCAGUUGCAGGUUCCGCUGCCUGGAGUGGAUGGAGAUGGAGUUGGUCCCGGGGUUGGUCCUGGAGUUGGAGUUUGACCUGGA
This is a long non-coding RNA of Spodoptera frugiperda (fall armyworm), 230 nucleotides long. RefSeq lists it as uncharacterized. Lineage: Eukaryota; Metazoa; Arthropoda; Insecta; Lepidoptera; Noctuidae. The transcript is spliced from 2 exons. The record is from RefSeq and is a predicted model, not a curated record.